RNAcentral lists this ribosomal RNA (465 nucleotides) under uncultured bacterium. RNAcentral describes it as "partial 16S ribosomal RNA". It matches the Rfam family "Bacterial small subunit ribosomal RNA", at positions 28 to 506 of the family's 1533-position model. The record is from RNAcentral.
GACGAACGCUGGCGGCGUGCUUAACACAUGCAAGUCGAACGGAAAGGCCCUGCUUGCAGGGUACUCGAGUGGCGAACGGGUGAGUAACACGUGGGUGAUCUGCCCUGCACUUCGGGAUAAGCUUGGGAAACUGGGUCUAAUACCGGAUAGGAGCCAUCUUUAGUGUGGUGGUUGGAAAGUUUUUUCGGUGUAGGAUGAGCUCGCGGCCUAUCAGCUUGUUGGUGGGGUAAUGGCCUACCAAGGCGGCGACGGGUAGCCGGCCUGAGAGGGUGUACGGCCAAAUUGGGGCUGAGAUAGGGCCCAGACCCCCACGGGAGGAAGAAGGGGGGAAUAGUGCAAAAGGGGCGAAAGCCUGAUGCAGCGACGCCGCGGGGGGGAUGAAGGCCUUGGGGUUGAAAACCCUGUUCGCUAGGGACGAAGCUUUGUUGUGACGGUACCUAGAUAAGAAGCACCGGCUAACUACGU